AGCCUUAGGAAUGGAUCUACGGUUAUACCUGCCCAAUGUAUUUAUGAAUGGCCGCGGUACUUUGACCGUGCUAAGGUAGCGCAAUCAAUUGGCUCUUAAUUGGAGUCAGGAAUGAAUGGAGUUUACGGGGUUUAGCUGUCUCUUAACUACUAAAUUGAAGUUACUAUGUAGGUGAAAAAGCCUAUAAAAAUAAAAAGGACGAGAAGACCCUUAGAGUUUUACUUAAUAUGAUACUUAAUAAUUAUAAUUCAUAAUGGUUUUGUUGGGGCAACAUUGGAGCAUAAAAGAAUUUUAUAAUCUCCUAGAUAUAAUAAACCGAUUAUUUUAAAGACGGAUAAACUACCUUAGGGAUAACAGCAUAAUUUUAUAAAUAAGUUUGUGACCUCGAUGUUGGACUAGGAAAUCUAAAGGCUAGUCGUCUUUAGGGAAAGUUCUGUUCGAACUAUUAUUCCU
Molecule: ribosomal RNA, 453 nt
Filed under: Ardeadoris symmetrica
Lineage: Eukaryota; Metazoa; Mollusca; Gastropoda; Nudibranchia; Chromodorididae
Description: partial 16S ribosomal RNA
Rfam family: Archaeal large subunit ribosomal RNA
Source: RNAcentral